RNAcentral lists this unclassified non-coding RNA (209 nucleotides) under Curvularia akaii. Its description in RNAcentral is "partial contains 5.8S rRNA, ITS2 and 28S rRNA". Lineage: Eukaryota; Fungi; Ascomycota; Dothideomycetes; Pleosporales; Pleosporaceae. The record is from RNAcentral.
UUCCAAAGGGCAUGCCUGUUCGAGCGUCAUUUGUACCCUCAAGCUUUGCUUGGUGUUGGGCGUCUUGUCUUUGCUCCGCCAAAGACUCGCCUUAAAACGAUUGGCAGCCGGCCUACUGGUUUCGCAGCGCAGCACAUUUUUGCGCUUGCAAUCAGCAAAAGAGGACGGCACUCCAUCAAGACUCCUUCUCACGUUUGACCUCGGAUCAG